AUUGAACGCUGGCGGCAUGCCUUACACAUGCAAGUCGAACGGCAGCACGGGUGCUUGCACCUGGUGGCGAGUGGCGAACGGGUGAGUAAUACAUCGGAACAUGUCCUGUAGUGGGGGAUAGCCCGGCGAAAGCCGGAUUAAUACCGCAUACGAUCUACGGAUGAAAGCGGGGGACCUUCGGGCCUCGCGCUAUAGGGUUGGCCGAUGGCUGAUUAGCUAGUUGGUGGGGUAAAGGCCUACCAAGGCGACGAUCAGUAGCUGGUCUGAGAGGACGACCAGCCACACUGGGACUGAGACACGGCCCAGACUCCUACGGGAGGCAGCAGUGGGGAAUUUUGGACCCUGGGCGCAAGCCUGCUCCCGCCCUGCCGCGUGUGUGAAGAAGGCCUUCGGGUUGUAAAGCACUUUUGUCCGGAAAGAAAUCCUUGGCCCUAAUACGGUCGGGGGAUGACGGUACCGGACGAAUCAGCACCGGCUAACUACGUG
RNAcentral lists this ribosomal RNA (486 nucleotides) under uncultured bacterium. RNAcentral describes it as "partial 16S ribosomal RNA". It matches the Rfam family "Bacterial small subunit ribosomal RNA", at positions 30 to 507 of the family's 1533-position model. The record is from RNAcentral.